GCCCUGAGGGUCCGGUGGUCCGGACUUGACACUUUAACUGUUGUGGCCCAGGUUCAAUCCCUGGUUGGGGAA
RNAcentral lists this transfer RNA (72 nucleotides) under Bos taurus (domestic cattle). It matches the Rfam family "tRNA". Rfam says of the family: Transfer RNA (tRNA) molecules are approximately 80 nucleotides in length. RNAcentral also lists the same sequence under 5 other names. The record is from Rfam by way of RNAcentral. Lineage: Eukaryota; Metazoa; Chordata; Mammalia; Artiodactyla; Bovidae.